Molecule: ribosomal RNA, 492 nt
Filed under: uncultured bacterium
Lineage: Bacteria
Description: partial 16S ribosomal RNA
Rfam family: Bacterial small subunit ribosomal RNA
Source: RNAcentral
AGUGAACGCUGGCGGUAGGCCUAACACAUGCAAGUCGAACGGCAGCACAGUAAGAGCUUGCUCUUACGGGUGGCGAGUGGCGGACGGGUGAGGAAUACAUCGGAAUCUACUUUUUCGUGGGGGAUAACGUAGGGAAACUUACGCUAAUACCGCAUACGACCUACGGGUGAAAGCAGGGGAUCUUCGGACCUUGCGCGAUUGAAUGAGCCGAUGUCGGAUUAGCUAGUUGGCGGGGUAAAGGCCCACCAAGGCGACGAUCCAUAGCUGGUCUGAGAGGAUGAUCAGCCACACUGGAACUGAGACACGGUCCAGACUCCUACGGGAGGCAGCAGUGGGGAAUAUUGGACAAUGGGCGCAAGCCUGAUCCAGCCAUACCGCGUGUGUGAAGAAGGCCUUCGGGUUGUAAAGCCCUUUUGUUGGGAAAGAAAAGCAGCAGGUUAAUACCCCGCUGUUCUGACGGUACCCAAAGAAUAAGCACCGGCUAACUUCGUG